Molecule: long non-coding RNA, 785 nt
Filed under: Eucalyptus grandis
Lineage: Eukaryota; Viridiplantae; Streptophyta; Magnoliopsida; Myrtales; Myrtaceae
Description: long non-coding RNA (EGRA_LNC006227)
Source: RNAcentral
UGAAUUCUUUCUUUUUUUUUUCUUUUUUUUCCUGAGGUUCAAUUUGUUGUGUUGGAAUUCCGUUUCGUUUUUGGUCAUGGAUUGUGCAUUUUUCGAGCUUCUUUUUCAGCUAUGCCGUACGUGAAGAAUCCUAGCACGGAUCCUCAGUUUCGGGUCUACUUUUCGAAGGAGUGGUACGAGGCAUUGCGCGUUGCCGUGAGGAAUUUCUUCGAUGAGAUCUUCAAUGGCACUCAUAUCCUUUGGAAUUGCGUGCAUACGCAUAUAGUUGCUAUUUUUUUGCUUUCAAUAGUGCCUCUUAGGCUCUAACUUUUAGAGUAUAGGUGGAUGGUUGGUCCUAAUGAUUUUGGAGCACUUCUAUUAUGUAAAAAGUACAAGAUAUGGAGCUUUCUCUUGCUGCAAUUUGGACGGUCACCAGCCGCAUUGCGGCCAUCCACUUGAUGUCCUGGGAUGCCGACUUUUCUCUGUACUAAACCGAUCGUCUCCGAUUCAAGUCUUGCCAUUGUUAUUGUUGAAAAGAUGGUUGGCCCGUUGGUAGGCGGUGACAAUCUUUCUUUUUUUUUCAUUUUUCUGAUUCUCGUCUUGUGAAUGGAAAAUGCAUGAGUGCUCACUGCGAAUUUAGCAAGAUUUUUCUUAACUAGACCACGCAUUCCUGCCUUAUUGACCAUUAGUUUGGAGAAGAACACUAUCAGCCGUCUCAAAAAGGAAAUUAAGCAGCUAAACAGUAAGUUAGCACAGCUUCAAGCUCUGUUGGAGGAAAAAGAAGCACAAUUAUGCCGAUCGAGGAG